Molecule: ribosomal RNA, 301 nt
Filed under: uncultured bacterium
Lineage: Bacteria
Description: partial 16S ribosomal RNA
Rfam family: Bacterial small subunit ribosomal RNA
Source: RNAcentral
CAGUAGCCGCGGUAACACGAAGGGUGCAAGCGUUACUCGGAAUCACUGGGCGUAAAGCGUGCGCAGGCGGUGUUGUAAGACUGAUGUGAAAUCCCCGGGCUCAACCUGGGAACUGCAUUGGUGACUGCAACGCUGGAGUGCGGCAGAGGGGGAUGGAAUUCCGCGUGUAGCAGUGAAAUGCGUAGAGAUCGGAAGGAACAUCUGUGGCGAAGGCGACUAUCUGGGCCAUUACUGACACUGAGGCACGAAAGCGUGGGGAGCAAACAGGAUUAGAUACCCCGGUAGUCCCUGUCUCUUAUAC